This 489-nucleotide ribosomal RNA is filed under the name uncultured bacterium. RNAcentral describes it as "partial 16S ribosomal RNA". It matches the Rfam family "Bacterial small subunit ribosomal RNA", at positions 29 to 507 of the family's 1533-position model. The record is from RNAcentral.
UUGAACGCUGGCGGCAUGCCUUACACAUGCAAGUCGAACGGCAUUGCGGGAAAGCUUGCUUUCCUGGCGGCGAGUGGCGAACGGGUGAGUAACACAUCGGAACGUACCGGCUAGUGGGGGAUAACCCGUCGAAAGACGGGCUAAUACCGCAUACGCUCUUCGGAGGAAAGCAGGGGACCUUUGGGCCUUGCGCUAGCCGAGCGGCCGAUGUCCGAUUAGCUAGUUGGUGGGGUAAAGGCCUACCAAGGCGACGAUCGGUAGCGGGUCUGAGAGGACGAUCCGCCACACUGGGACUGAGACACGGCCCAGACUCCUACGGGAGGCAGCAGUGGGGAAUCUUGGACAAUGGGGGCAACCCUGAUCCAGCAAUGCCGCGUGGGUGAAGAAGGCCUUCGGGUUGUAAAGCCCUUUCGGCAGGGAAGAAAUCGGCGGGGCGAAUAACCCUGCUGGAUGACGGUACCUGCAGAAGAAGCACCGGCUAACUACGUG